GGCUCAAAAGCCUUUUAAUGAAGCUGAGCACUCUCAUGCUGGCUUGGUCACCUAGAGGAUCGGGCAGAGAGCUCUAGAGGUAAAAGAGGUAAUAUUGAAAUUCCCUUGGCAAGCCUAGUGGAAAGGAGUUACCUGCACAUUCACGAGCAAAGAAGGACGUGCUCAGAACUCGCACUUGGUGGCCCCAUGCAAUGAAGUGCUACAAACCAGGCUCCCUUGCACUGAGCUAAACUCACUGAGGCUCAUUUAUACUGACUCAACUGAUGUGUAAGGGAGAUGGAAGAAGGGCUGAGAAAGUGUGUACCUUUAGAGCUGUCCAUCUGCGGUGGAGGAGUGAAGCAGAGAGAAACACCCAGGUGGUAUGCUGUUCCCAGCUACAGGGGCUUUAUUACUCCACUCCUGGCAGCACAGACUCUGAGCAGACUUCGAUGAAUAAAGAAGUGCUGGGAGAGUGAAACCCAGCCAGAGAGCAGGGCUUGAGCUGGCUCUUUUUUCUGUCCAGGUUGUAUUAGCAAUAGGUCACCACACUUCCAAGGUAAAAAGUGAGAGUGGCACAAGAUCUUCUGUCCGACUCCUUGUCUCAGUUAGUGAGUUGUAGGGCCUCUCCGUGGACAUUGAAUAUCCAAACACCUCUAGGGUUUUCUGACAAGGGGACCAAUAAACUUAUUUCCAUUUGUGACCCAAGAGAGGCUUUGAGCACAUCUGUAGCUAUCUAUAAAAAUCCACUAAGUAGCUCAUGCAAGAUGCCACUGCAUCUAGCAACAUGCCUGAUGGGGUUUCCAACAAUUGUCA
Dermochelys coriacea (leatherback sea turtle) is the source of this 792-nucleotide long non-coding RNA. RefSeq lists it as uncharacterized. NCBI's taxonomy places the organism in Eukaryota, Metazoa, Chordata, Testudines, Dermochelyidae. The record is from RefSeq and is a predicted model, not a curated record. The transcript is spliced from 4 exons.